UUAGUCGAAACCAAAGAGAGGUAUAUCACUGUUAAUGAUAAAAAUGAAUAGAAAUUCCGUCUAAG
Molecule: transfer RNA, 65 nt
Filed under: Neotermes koshunensis
Lineage: Eukaryota; Metazoa; Arthropoda; Insecta; Blattodea; Kalotermitidae
Description: tRNA-Asn
Source: RNAcentral